This 158-nucleotide ribosomal RNA is filed under the name Trichoderma inhamatum. RNAcentral's name for it is "5.8S ribosomal RNA". It matches the Rfam family "5.8S ribosomal RNA". From Rfam's summary of the family: 5.8S ribosomal RNA (5.8S rRNA) is a component of the large subunit of the eukaryotic ribosome. It is transcribed by RNA polymerase I as part of the 45S precursor that also contains 18S and 28S rRNA. Functionally, it is thought that 5.8S rRNA may be involved in ribosome translocation. Lineage: Eukaryota; Fungi; Ascomycota; Sordariomycetes; Hypocreales; Hypocreaceae. The record is from RNAcentral.
AAACUUUCAACAACGGAUCUCUUGGUUCUGGCAUCAAUGAAAAACGCAGCGAAAUGCGAUAAGUAAUGUGAAUUGCAAAAUUCAGUGAAUCAUCGAAUCUUUGAACGCACAUUGCGCCCGCCAGUAUUCUGGCGGGCAUGCCUGUCCGAGCGUCAUUU